GCGACCCCAGGUCAGGCGGGACUACCCGCUGAGUUUAAGCAUAUCAAUAAGCGGAGGAGAAGAAACUUACAAGGAUUCCCCUAGUAACGGCGAGCGAACCGGGAUCAGCCCAGCUUGGGAAUCGGGYGGCKUUGUCGUCCGAAUUGUAGUCUGUAGAAKCGUCCUCAGCGACGGACCRAGCCCAAGUCCCCUGGAAGGNGGCGCCGGAGAGGGUGAGAGCCCCGUCGUGCUCGGACCCUGUCGCACCACGAGGCGCUGUCGGCGAGUCGGGUUGUUUGGGAAUGCAGCCCCAAUCGGGCGGUAAAUUCCGUCYAAGGCUAAAUACYGGCGAGAGACCGAUAGCGAACAAGUACCGCGAGGGAAAGAUGAAAAGGACUUUGAAAAGAGAGUCAAAGAGUGCUUGAAAUUGUCGGGAGGGAAGCGGAUGGGGGCCGGCGAUGCRCRCCGGUCGGAUGCGGAAUGGCGNNAAGCUGGUCCGCNGCUCGGCUCGGUGCGCGGACCGACGCGGAUUGCGGAGGCGACCCAAGCCUAGCGUCNCNGGAACGCCCGUGGAGAUGUCGUCCCNGCGAUUGUGGUGGGCAGCACGCGCCUCACGGCGUGCNUCGGCAACUGCGUGCUCCCGGCGUCGGCCAGCGGGCUCCCCAUUCGGCCCGUCUUGAAACACGGACCAAGGAGUCUGACAUGUGUGCGAGUCAGCGGGCGAGUAAACCCGCGAGGCGCAAGGAAGCUAAUUGGCGGGAUCCCCCUGUGGGUUGCACCGUCGAC
RNAcentral lists this ribosomal RNA (765 nucleotides) under Clematis apiifolia. Its description in RNAcentral is "partial 28S ribosomal RNA". It matches the Rfam family "Eukaryotic large subunit ribosomal RNA", at positions 1 to 765 of the family's 3401-position model. The record is from RNAcentral. Lineage: Eukaryota; Viridiplantae; Streptophyta; Magnoliopsida; Ranunculales; Ranunculaceae.